GCUGGCGGCAGGCCUAACACAUGCAAGUCGAGCGGUAGAGAGAAGCUUGCUUCUCUUGAGAGCGGCGGACGGGUGAGUAAUACCUAGGAAUCUGCCUGAUAGUGGGGGAUAACGUUCGGAAACGGACGCUAAUACCGCAUACGUCCUACGGGAGAAAGCAGGGGACCUUCGGGCCUUGCGCUAUCAGAUGAGCCUAGGUCGGAUUAGCUAGUUGGUGAGGUAAUGGCUCACCAAGGCUACGAUCCGUAACUGGUCUGAGAGGAUGAUCAGUCACACUGGAACUGAGACACGGUCCAGACUCCUACGGGAGGCAGCAGUGGGGAAUAUUGGACAAUGGGCGAAAGCCUGAUCCAGCCAUGCCGCGUGUGUGAAGAAGGUCUUCGGAUUGUAAAGCACUUUAAGUUGGGAGGAAGGGCAUUAACCUAAUACGUUAGUGUCUUGACGUUACCGACAGAAUAAGCACCGGCUAACUCUGUGCCAG
This 481-nucleotide ribosomal RNA is filed under the name Pseudomonas fragi. RNAcentral describes it as "bacterial SSU rRNA". It matches the Rfam family "Bacterial small subunit ribosomal RNA", at positions 35 to 511 of the family's 1533-position model. The record is from RNAcentral. Lineage: Bacteria; Pseudomonadati; Pseudomonadota; Gammaproteobacteria; Pseudomonadales; Pseudomonadaceae.